CCUACUUUUUUCUUCAUUUUUUAAUAUUUUACAAUUUUUUCAACCCUGAUCCAGCCAUGCCGCGUGUGUGAAGAAGGCCCUCGGGUUGUAAAGCACUUUCAGUGAGGAAGAACGCCUGGUGGUUAAUACCCAUCAGGAAAGACAUCACUCACAGAAGAAGCACCGGCUAACUCCGUGCCAGCAGCCGCGGUAAUACGGAGGGUGCGAGCGUUAAUCGGAAUUACUGGGCGUAAAGCGCGCGUAGGUGGCUUGAUAAGCCGGUUGUGAAAGCCCCGGGCUCAACCUGGAACGGCAUCCGGAACUGUCAAGCUAGAGUGCAGGAGAGGAAGGUAGAAUUCCCGGUGUAGCGGUGAAAUGCGUAGAGAUCGGGAGGAAUACCAGUGGCGAAGGCGGCCUUCUGGACUGACACUGACACUGAGGUGCGAAAGCGUGGGUAGCAAACAGGAUUAGAUACCCUAGUAGUC
Molecule: ribosomal RNA, 464 nt
Filed under: Vreelandella stevensii
Lineage: Bacteria; Pseudomonadati; Pseudomonadota; Gammaproteobacteria; Oceanospirillales; Halomonadaceae
Description: partial 16S ribosomal RNA
Rfam family: Bacterial small subunit ribosomal RNA
Source: RNAcentral